CGGAUGUAGCAAUACAUUAGUGGCGCACGGGUGCGUAACGCGUGGGAACAUGCCCUUGGGUAAGGAAUAGCUACUGGAAACGGUAAUUAAUACCUUAUAAUGACUUCGGUCCAAAGAUUUAUCGCCCAAGGAUUGGCCCGCGUCUGAUUAGCUAGUUGGUGAGGUAAUGGCUCACCAAGGCGACGAUCAGUAGCUGGUCUGAGAGGAUGAUCAGCCACACUGGGACUGAGACACGGCCCAGACUCC
RNAcentral lists this ribosomal RNA (246 nucleotides) under uncultured bacterium. RNAcentral describes it as "partial 16S ribosomal RNA". It matches the Rfam family "Bacterial small subunit ribosomal RNA", at positions 67 to 339 of the family's 1533-position model. The record is from RNAcentral.